Molecule: long non-coding RNA, 775 nt
Organism: Homo sapiens (human)
Lineage: Eukaryota; Metazoa; Chordata; Mammalia; Primates; Hominidae
Product: long intergenic non-protein coding RNA 1884
Source: Ensembl
ACAGUAAGAGGAUGCCAUCUAUAAAUCAGAAAGCAGAGUCUCACCAGAUACUGAAUUUGCCAGUGCCCUGAUCAUGGACCCUCCAGCCUUCAGAAUUGCAACAGACACCUGAGCCAUGUACUCCUCCUGAUGGAUCGCAGGAGCAUAAGAUGGUAAGCCGAAACACAGAAUACAUCACAAAGCCCAUCCUUGAAACUAGGACAAUGUCCAUCAGCUACAAGCCCUAUGAUUAAGUCCAUCAAAGGUGAAGUAGAUGGAACUCCAUAUAGACAAAAAUAAAGGUGACAGAGAACUUCUGGGGAGCAGUGCAGAGUGAAAAAAACCAGCACCCAUGACUUCCUCAUGUGGAAUUCUGGGCUGAUGCUCCAUCUGACUCCAGCACUUCUCACAAAACUGGGACAACUAACUGUUUAUCCAACAUCUGCUGGCUAAAUAAAGACAUGAUCUUCACCUUUUGGGAUUGUUAAUUUAAAAUGGUUCCAUAAGAGCAAUGCAAAGACAGAGAUAUUUGGCAGCACUGCAGCUGGUGAUUUAUAUGGCUCUUCACAAGGUGUUAUUUUGGGGUAUCAAGGUAUGGAUGCUUAAAUCAGCUGCAGGAAGUAAGAAAGAAGAAAAAAGGAGUGAUAAAGAUAAAAAAAAAUCAACCUUGGUCCUUCCACCAAGACCCAUUAAUUUCCAUAUCAUCAUCUGCAUAAGAGGGAAGAUUCCUACAUGACCAGGUUACUGCAAGGAUGUGAAUUUUGAAUAUUAAAAUAUUAUACACAAUUGGAAAUAA